RNAcentral lists this unclassified non-coding RNA (2251 nucleotides) under Hevea brasiliensis (rubber tree). The record is from RNAcentral. Lineage: Eukaryota; Viridiplantae; Streptophyta; Magnoliopsida; Malpighiales; Euphorbiaceae.
UGUUGGUCAUGAAGGACACUUCAUAUCAAUGAAGAUUCUGUAGAUGCUGAAAGAAACAAAUUGUGUUUCAAAGUUGUCCCUUACGUUAUUUUUCUUCCUCCCACUGCACAGAUAGUCUGAAGAUUUGUGCUCAACCUGACAUGAUGUAAGGACUUAUGAAUUCACUAUUAUUGAGCUUCCUUGAAAAUCUAUCCUUGCGGUGAGUGAGGCCCUUGGAAUUUAGGUGUUCAUGACACAAGUCAGACUCUGUUUCUCGCAUCAAUUGAACAAACAAAUAAUAAUGCAAUACCUGGCAUGAUGUAAGGACGAUGUCACCAUUACUGAGCUUCCUGGAAGAUCUAUUCUCUUUGUGAUGACUUAGGCCUCUUGGAAGUUAAGUGGUGUAUGACAAAAGUCAGACUAAUUGUAAUGCACUGUUUACUACUUAUCUAUUUUCCAGUUUCUUUCUCACAUCAAUAACGUCUUUCUCAAUGGCAAAGUGAUAUCAAGAAAGAUACAGUUUAUGAAACCUCCAUUAUUCCCAAAGAAAAAUGAUUAUAUGAUUUUUCCUCUAUUUCCAUUGAAGAACCCACAAGCAAUCCACUGUUUAAUGUCAAAAACAAAAUGAAGGUAAGCAUAUGUGGAUAAUUGUUACAUAAUUCUGUGAGACUCAUAUGCACUGUAAUCCUUGUCUUUUUCAACCACAAUUUACUUGUGAUUGACUCUAGCUACAAAAAGAAUGUGAACAAAAUUGAGAAUUAGACAAAGCUAGUCAUUCCUUCUUGUCAAUUUCAGCAAUUUCAGGACAUUCUCAUACACAAUAAAUGUUAUUGAAGCUGCAGGAACAUUUUUCAGAAGGUUUGGUGUGAUGCCCUUGUAAAAACCUCGAAAACCCUCAAACCGUGCAGUUUCCUUCACAACAUGCCAGCUAUCCGUAUACUUCGGAAAUCCAUCUGUACCAGGUCGUUGCUGCAACCGAGCUCGAAUAACCUGAAAUGGGUAUGUCAAAAUAAUGGCAGCAACUUUAGAAGACCCCCCAAGCAUGGCAUAAUCGACUGAAUUCAACAGAUCAGCAUCUGUAGUUUUAUGAUUCCUUUUGCUUUCUUUAGACUUAUAAUCAACAAUAACUUUUCGAAGUUCCUCAUAUGCUGUGAACUGAAUAGCCCCAUGAGAAACCAGGAAAAGAGCAGGAACAAUUCCUUUAUAAAGUGCACUCCAUCCUUCCUCUCUCAUUAUGGUUUUCAAGGCAUCGUAAAGCCCAGAAUAACGUUGAGUUUGAUGCAGGGGAGUCUGAAGCUGCAACCUUGUCUUUACAAGCCAAAUGGGAUUCGUACACAAGCAAACCAUUUAACACUAAUCUUCUGUUUUUCCCCUUUCCUUUCUGGUACACUUUAGACAUUAAUAGAUGCAUAUUAAAGCUCCAGCUUCUGCGGCAGAUGCAAGAUGAAGACCAGGGCUCAACUUCUCAUCCCUGUUCUUAGAAUACCUUUGUUUGGCUCUGCCAUAAAAGAAAAAAUAUAAACCCCAUGAAACUGUUGAACCAAGAACUGAAGGAAAGAAGCCUGCAUAAAGCCCUUUCAAACCCUGCAACAAAAGACAAGAUGGUUGUUUUACAAAAUUUGUUCACACAAGAAGUACGAUAAGAAUAAGUUUUCCAUGCCAAAGAAAAUCUUUGCUUUUACAUCAGUAGCAGGGAUAGGAUAGCGUGGCAGUUCCAUCCAGUGUAAAACACCAAACAUCACCAUCAAAUGAGUCAACCUAUAUGCCAACCCUAUAAGCUUCACUGCAAAAGGCUAUUUUCUUGAACAAUUCUCUACCUUCUUUUACUAAACAUUGAAAAUGUCCCGGGUCUGAAUGUGUACAAACCUCAAGCAAGUAACCUAGAGUACUAGCAAGCCAAAAGUGAAUGACGAUCCAUAUAAUUCUAUUUCUGACAGAAACUUGCUAUCAUGAUAUCAAUGAUCGACAAAAAGAAAUAGUGUAACAAUGCAAUCUUAAUCUGAUAUAAAGAUUUCUUGAAUUGCUAAGAUGAAUUCAAUACUCAAUUAUUAAAUAAUGAUAUUUGAUUUGCUCAGGACCUUAGCCCACAUUUCACUUGUAGAAAGAAUGAGAAUAAAAUAUAUAAGUUUAUAGUUUCAUUGCAGACCCCGCAUUGUUUUCUAAUAACCAAAAAGCCUAGAACCUGAAGCAAACAUGAUGAUGAUGACAGUUCAAGAAAAACUCAUUGCCCAAUUUUCACAUAUCUUUUUAAGUCUGUCAUCCCAAUUCCUAG